Molecule: ribosomal RNA, 496 nt
Filed under: Staphylococcus epidermidis
Lineage: Bacteria; Bacillati; Bacillota; Bacilli; Caryophanales; Staphylococcaceae
Description: bacterial SSU rRNA
Rfam family: Bacterial small subunit ribosomal RNA
Source: RNAcentral
AUCCUGGUCUCAGGAUCAGCGUGUGGCGGCGUGCGCUGAUACUAUGCAAAUGCAAGCGAGCAGGCAGCGAGCUUGCUCCUCUGACGUUAGCGGCGGCGAGGGUCAGUAACAGUGUGGAUAUACCUGCCUAUAUUGCCUGGGAUAGCGGGGGACACCGGAACUAAUACCGAUAUAACAUCAUACGCCGCAUGGUUCAAAACAGAAAACCGGUUUUCCUUUCACUUACUGGAUAUGCCCAGGUGGCAUUAGCUAGUUGGUAAGGUAAUGGCUCACCAAGGCAACGAUGGGUAGCCGACCUGAGAGGGUGAUCGGCCACACGGGAACUGAGACACGGCCCAGACUCCUACGGGAGGCACCAGUAGGGAAUCUUUGCGCAAUGGGGGAAAGCCUGACGCAGCCACGCCGCGUGAGUGAUGAAGGCCUUCGGAUCGUAAAGCUCUUUUAUUAAGGAAGAACAAACAUUUAAGUAACUAUGCAGGUAGGACGGUACCUCACA